AUUGAACGCUGGCGGCAGGCUUAACACAUGCAAGUCGAGCGGAGAUGAGGUGCUUGCACCUUAUCUUAGCGGCGGACGGGUGAGUAAUGCUUAGGGAUCUGCCUAUUAGUGGGGGACAACAUUCCGAAAGGAAUGCUAAUACCGCAUACGUCCUACGGGAGAAAGCAGGGGAUCUUCGGACCUUGCGCUAAUAGAUGAGCCUAAGUCGGAUUAGCUAGUUGGUGGGGGUAAAGGCCUACCAAGGCGACGAUCUGGAGCGGGUCUGAGAGGAUGAUCCGCCACACUGGGACUGAGACACGGCCCAGACUCCUACGGGAGGCAGCAGUGGGGAAUAUUGGACAAUGGGGGGAACCCUGAUCCAGCCAUGCCGCGUGUGUGAAGAAGGCCUUAUGGUUGUAAAGCACUUUAAGCGAGGAGGAGGCUACUGAGACUAAUACUCUUGGAUAGUGGACGUUACUCGCAGAAUAAGCACCGGCUAACUCUGUGCCAGCCGCCGCCGUAA
This 502-nucleotide ribosomal RNA is filed under the name uncultured bacterium. Its description in RNAcentral is "partial 16S ribosomal RNA". It matches the Rfam family "Bacterial small subunit ribosomal RNA", at positions 30 to 523 of the family's 1533-position model. The record is from RNAcentral.